CUAUAUGGGAUCUGAACCCAGGAGUGUGUCCUGGGAGUGCCGUCGGGCCCUCCCACCACAGGGGUCUCUGCGUGGGGCAACCUGGUGGCAUCUUCUCUUUCAGCUGCUUGAAGCUCUGGACCCCAGGAGGAGAGGGUAGCCUUCACAGCCUGUGACUUGGAACCUGCCCUUCCUCUCCAGUUAUGAUCACCAGCACCUUUGGAGAUCCAAGACUCCAGCUACCAAAAGUCCUCAUGCCCUCUCUGGAGCCAUAGGGAACCAUAGAUGGCCCUAGGUCUCUGGGCAAAGCUUAUGGCAGCUUGACUGGUUUGCACACUGGCUGCACAGGAGCAGUGAGACUCUCCCCAGUGUGAGUGUGCAAGGCAUGCAUGUGAGUGUGGGCCAUUGUGUUGAGGGGCAGACAAACUCAGGGCUUGGGCCGCCAUAACUAAUGACCAUAAACAGAUUGGCUCAAAACAGCAGACAUUCUCUCAUGAUUCUAGUGGCCAGAAGUUCACAAGUCAAGAACGGACGAGUUCCAGCUUCAGUGAGGGAGUCAAGCAGAACUGUUGUCCUGCAAGGGUCUCAGAAGGUAGGGCAGACUCUGCAUCCUCAAACUUCGGAGGUGUCCUGCAUGGCUGCGUCGCUCCUGCCACUUUCCUGAUGCUGCGACCCUUUAAUACAGUUCCUCAUGUGGUGGUGACCCCCCAACCAUAAAAUGAUUUUCAUUGCCACUUCAUAACUGUAAUUUUGAUACUGUUAUGAAUUGUAAUAUAAAUAUCUGUGUUUCCCAGUGGUCUUAGGUGACCCCUUGUGAAAGGCGAAUUCGACCCUCUAAAGGGGGUCUCAGUCCACAGGUUGACCUCUGACCUACACACACACACACACACACACACACACACACACACACACACACACACACAGGCAUACAUGUGCAUAUGCACCUGAACAUGACCAAAGGAGCCAUGACUAACAUUUUCAAUGUUUAGCCUUUUUAAUUUCCACUCUUGACACAGGAAAGUGAGUGGCGGGGGGGCGGGGGGAGUUGGACUGGCCCAUCCAAGGUCUCACAGCUUCAUGUGGUCGAUAUAGAAGUCUGACACUCCCGCGUUGUUCCUAAAGGGACAGCCCAGUCUCCCAACAGCCUACCUCCCUUCAGACGUGAGGUCACUAGGCCACAGGGAGCCCAGCCUCUGCCUCUUGGUCCAGAGAAGAACAGGACUGGAAGGACCCACUUCCUCUGCAAGGACUGGCUCCCUGACCCUGAACCAGCCUGCCGACAAGCUGUUUAAAGUUUCACACUUGUCCCGAUGGCUCCGGAAGCCCCCGCCAUCCAGAAAGGGACCUGUGUACUCAUCUCCAAGUUAAUUAUCGUCCUUUCUGCCACUGCCUUCCAGGGUGCCCGGCUCUCCAGGGUGCCGCUGCCACACCCCAGCUUCACCUGACUGCAUUUCAUGGUUUAUAGUUUGCAGGGUCAGUAGGGUACGUUUAUCCCUUUAGAGUGCCCUUUGCACUACCCAUCCAUGCAAACAGCGUCCCCAUGCCCUCGUCCCCAGUCUGGGCUCAGUCACUAAGGGGACAGCAGCAGAAUACUUCCCAGGAAACUCUGAGUCUUAUGCACAGUUGGGAAGCACUGGCCGGGGUCUCCUGUGACCACACACACCAAUGCUUUAAUUGUACGUGUGUCUGGGUAUGGGCACGUGCACAUGCAUGUAGGUGCCCCCAGAGCCCAGAAGCACUGGAUCCAUGGGGAGCUGGAACUGCAGGUGGGUGAGAGCUGCCAGAUGUGGUUGCUGGGAACCACACUCAAGCCGUCUCAUUAUUACUGUGGGGGUGCACACAUCCACACACAUGGAGGUCAAAGGACAGCUUUGUGGAGCUGGUUCUCUCUUUAUACCUUGACACAGAUUCCGAGUCAUCAGGCUCUGGAAGCAAGCACUUGACAUGAUGUCCCUUGAGUCCAUUCUUUGAAAGACGUAAGUUCUGUGUCUAGAUCCAUCUUUGUGCAAAUGGAUGGGCAGCUGCUGUCCCUUUACACCAUUGUGUCGCCUUGGUUCUCUUCUCAGCGGUGUGUACUGACUCCGUCUGUAGGUUUAUCUCUGGGCUCUCUGUUCUGUUUCCCUGAACUCUUGACUCUCCUGCCAACAUCCCCAAUGUCUUGGGGACUGGAAUCUUUAUAGUAGCUUCUUAUUAAAUUCCCAUUUUAAGAUUUA
Long non-coding RNA from Peromyscus californicus insignis, 2192 nucleotides. RefSeq lists it as uncharacterized. The transcript has 2 exons. NCBI's taxonomy places the organism in Eukaryota, Metazoa, Chordata, Mammalia, Rodentia, Cricetidae. The record is from RefSeq and is a predicted model, not a curated record.